UGCCAGUGUGUGUGUGUGUGUGUGUGUAUCUGUAUGUUAGAUACAUAUACACACACACACAUACACACUGACACA
Pelobates cultripes (western spadefoot toad) is the source of this 75-nucleotide non-coding RNA. Lineage: Eukaryota; Metazoa; Chordata; Amphibia; Anura; Pelobatidae. The record is from the annotation of a GenBank genome assembly.